UGUUCUUAACAGGAUUGCAGAAGAGCAACACUCGUGCCAGCAUUCUCACUUCUUAGAUAGCUUUUUCUUACUUUGUGCUUUCCGCUGGGGCUUAAUAGUCACACUUCUGGUUCUUCGCCCUACGUUCUGCAACAAAUUUAUAGUGUUUGGGUUGCACGGAAGCCACCGGUUAUGCUUUUGUUGAAUUUGAUGACUGUAGAGAUGCUUUAGAUGCGAUCAAAGAUUUGGAUGGGAAGAAUGGUUGGCGGGUUGAGCUUUCUCAUAACUCUAAGGGUAGUGGUGGAGGUAGGGAUGGUGGUGGGCGUGGUGGCAGGGAUGGUGGUCGAGGACGCGGUGUUGGUGUGCCAUGACAUAAGUGGAGGACAAGAAGCCAGUCUGAUUCCUGUCACCAAUUUAAUUGAUCCUCCUCUUCCACCUA
Molecule: long non-coding RNA, 418 nt
Organism: Papaver somniferum (opium poppy)
Lineage: Eukaryota; Viridiplantae; Streptophyta; Magnoliopsida; Ranunculales; Papaveraceae
Exons: 4
Source: RefSeq, a predicted model, not a curated record